This 464-nucleotide ribosomal RNA is filed under the name uncultured Pseudoalteromonas sp. Its description in RNAcentral is "bacterial SSU rRNA". It matches the Rfam family "Bacterial small subunit ribosomal RNA", at positions 59 to 515 of the family's 1533-position model. Lineage: Bacteria; Pseudomonadati; Pseudomonadota; Gammaproteobacteria; Alteromonadales; Pseudoalteromonadaceae. The record is from RNAcentral.
AAGUCGAGCGGUAACAGAAAGUAGCUUGCUACUUUGCUGACGAGCGGCGGACGGGNGAGUAAUGCUUGGGAACAUGCCUUGAGGNGGGGGACAACAGUUGGAAACGACCUGCUAAUACCAGNAUAAUGUCUACGGACCAAAGGGGGCCUUCGGCUCUCGCCUUUAGAUUGGCCCAAGUGGGAUUAGCUAGUUGGUGAGGUAAUGGCUCACCAAGGCAACGAUCCCUANCUGGUUUGAGAGGAUGAUCACCCACACUGGGACUGAGACACGGCCCAGACUCCUACGGGAGGCAGCAGNGGGGAAUAUUGCACAAUGGGCGCAAGCCUGAUGCAGCCAUGCCGCGUGUGUGAANAAGGCCUUCGGGUUGUAAAGCACUUUCAGUCAGGAGGAAAGGUUAGUAGUUAAUACCUGCUAGCUGNGACGUUACUGACAGAAAAAGCACCGGCUAACUCCGUGCCAGCAGC